UACAGAGGUCUCAACCGUUGUUCGGAUUCAUUGGGCGUAAAGGGUGCGUAGGCGGUCACGCAAGUCGGAUGUGAAAUCUCAGGGCUCAACCCUGAAACUGCAUUCGAUACUGCGUGGCUAGAGUGCUGGAGAGGAGACUGGAAUUUACGGUGUAGCAGUGAAAUGCGUAGAUAUCGUAAGGAAGACCAGUGGCGAAGGCGAGUCUCUGGACAGCAACUGACGCUGAGGCACGAAGGCCAGGGGAGCAAACGGG
This 253-nucleotide ribosomal RNA is filed under the name uncultured bacterium. RNAcentral describes it as "partial 16S ribosomal RNA". It matches the Rfam family "Bacterial small subunit ribosomal RNA", at positions 524 to 776 of the family's 1533-position model. The record is from RNAcentral.